RNAcentral lists this ribosomal RNA (264 nucleotides) under uncultured Staphylococcus sp. RNAcentral describes it as "partial 16S ribosomal RNA". It matches the Rfam family "Bacterial small subunit ribosomal RNA", at positions 98 to 354 of the family's 1533-position model. Lineage: Bacteria; Bacillati; Bacillota; Bacilli; Caryophanales; Staphylococcaceae. The record is from RNAcentral.
CGGGACGGGUGAGUAACACGUGGAUAACCUACCUAUAAGACUGGGAUAACUUCGGGAAACCGGAGCUAAUACCGGAUAAUAUAUUGAACCGCAUGGUUCAAUAGUGAAAGACGGUUUUGCUGUCACUUAUAGAUGGAUCCGCGCUGCAUUAGCUAGUUGGUAAGGUAACGGCUUACCAAGGCAACGAUGCGUAGCCGACCUGAGAGGGUGAUCGGCCACACUGGAACUGAGACACGGUCCAGACUCCUACGGGAGGCAGCAGGG